This 497-nucleotide ribosomal RNA is filed under the name uncultured bacterium. RNAcentral describes it as "partial 16S ribosomal RNA". It matches the Rfam family "Bacterial small subunit ribosomal RNA", at positions 28 to 507 of the family's 1533-position model. The record is from RNAcentral.
GAUGAACGCUGGCGGCGUGCCUAAUACAUGCAAGUCGAGCGAACAGACGAGGAGCUUGCUCCUCUGACGUUAGCGGCGGACGGGUGAGUAACACGUGGAUAACCUACCUAUAAGACUGGGAUAACUUCGGGAAACCGGAGCUAAUACCGGAUAAUAUAUUGAACCGCAUGGUUCAAUAGUGAAAGACGGUUUUGCUGUCACUUAUAGAUGGAUCCGCGCCGCAUUAGCUAGUUGGUAAGGUAACGGCUUACCAAGGCAACGAUGCGUAGCCGACCUGAGAGGUGGAGCGGCCACACUGGAACUGAGACACGGUCCAGACUCCUACGGGGGGCAGCAGGGGGGAAUUUCCGACAAGGGGCGAAGCCCGGAGGGAGCAACGCGGCGUGGGUGAAGAAGGUCUUCGGAUCGAAAAACCCUUUUAUGGGGAAAGAAAAAAAGUAGAAUAAAAAACCCCUGUUUUGACGGUACCAAACAAAAAAGCCCCGGCUAACUUCGUC